GACGAACGCUGGCGGCGUGCUUAACACAUGCAAGUCGAACGGAAAGGCCCUGCUUUUGUGGGGUGCUCGAGUGGCGAACGGGUGAGUAACACGUGAGCAACCUGCCCUUGACUUUGGGAUAACUUCAGGAAACUGGGGCUAAUACCGGAUAGGAGCUCCUGCUGCAUGGUGGGGGUUGGAAAGUUUCGGCGGUUGGGGAUGGACUCGCGGCUUAUCAGCUUGUUGGUGGGGUAGUGGCUUACCAAGGCGUUGACGGGUAGCCGGCCUGAGAGGGUGACCGGCCACAUUGGGACUGAGAUACGGCCCAGACUCCUACGGGAGGCAGCAGUGGGGAGUAUUGCACAAUGGGCGGAAGCCUGGUGCAGCAACGCCGCGUGCGGGAUGACGGCCUUCGGGUUGUAAACCACUUUCGCCUGGGACGAAGCGUGAGUGACGGUAAUGGGUAAAGAAGCACCGGCUAACUACGUG
RNAcentral lists this ribosomal RNA (468 nucleotides) under uncultured bacterium. RNAcentral's name for it is "partial 16S ribosomal RNA". It matches the Rfam family "Bacterial small subunit ribosomal RNA", at positions 28 to 507 of the family's 1533-position model. The record is from RNAcentral.